ACGAAGGUCCCAAGCGUUGUUCGGAAUCACUGGGCGUAAAGGGAGCGUAGGCGGCGCGGUAAGUCAGAUGUGAAAUCCCGGGGCUCAACCCCGGAACUGCAUCCGAUACUGCCGUGCUUGAGGGUUGGAGAGGUAGCUGGAAUUAUCGGUGUAGCAGUGAAAUGCGUGGAUAUCGAUAGGAACACUCGUGGCGAAGGCGAGCUACUGGACAACAUCUGACGCUGAGGCUCGAAGGCUAGGGGAGCAAAAGGG
This 252-nucleotide ribosomal RNA is filed under the name uncultured bacterium. RNAcentral's name for it is "partial 16S ribosomal RNA". It matches the Rfam family "Bacterial small subunit ribosomal RNA", at positions 525 to 776 of the family's 1533-position model. The record is from RNAcentral.